Molecule: ribosomal RNA, 777 nt
Filed under: uncultured bacterium
Lineage: Bacteria
Description: bacterial SSU rRNA
Rfam family: Bacterial small subunit ribosomal RNA
Source: RNAcentral
CGAACGGGAUGAGUCAUGUCUGGGGAAGCCGCCUGAAGGAGGGGGGGAUUUACUACUGGAAACCGGUAGAUUAUUUCCCAAUAACGUCGCAAGAACCAAAGAGGGGGGCCUUCGAAGCCUCUUCCAUCUGGAUGUGCCCAAAGGGGAUUAGAUAGUAGGUGGGGUAACGGCUCACCAAGGCGACGAUCCUUAACUGGUUUGAGAGGAUGACCAGCCACACUGGAACUGAGACACGGUCCAGACUCCUACGGGAGGCAGCAGUGGGGAAUAUUGCACAAUGGGCGCAAGCCUGAUGCAGCCAUGCCGCGUGUAUGAAGAAGGCCUUCGGGUUGUAAAGUACUUUCAGCGGGGAGGAAGGGAGUAAAGUUAAUACCUUUGCUCAUUGACGUUACCCGCAGAAGAAGCACCGGCUAACUCCGUGCCCGCAGCCGCGGUAAUACGGAGGGUGCAAGCGUUAAUUGGAAUUACUGGGCGUAAAGCGCACGCAGGCGGUUUGUUAAGUCAGAUGUGAAAUUCCCGGGCUCAACCUGGGAACUGCAUUUGAUACUGGCAAGCUUGAGUUUUGUAGAGGGGGGUAGAAUUCCAGGUGUAGCGGUGAAAUGCGUAGAGAUUUGGAGGAAUCCCGGUGGCGAAGGCGGCCCCCUGGACGCAGUAUGACGGUCCGGUGCGAAAGGGUGGGGAGGAAACCGGAUUAGAUUCCCUGGUAGUUCCACCCGUAAAUAGAGAUGACUUGGAUGUUGGGCCUUCAGGCGUGGGUAACGAGCUAACGCGUGAAUU